This 243-nucleotide ribosomal RNA is filed under the name uncultured Actinomycetales bacterium. RNAcentral's name for it is "partial 16S ribosomal RNA". It matches the Rfam family "Bacterial small subunit ribosomal RNA", at positions 88 to 334 of the family's 1533-position model. The record is from RNAcentral. Lineage: Bacteria; Bacillati; Actinomycetota; Actinomycetes; Actinomycetales.
UACUCGAGUGGCGAACGGGUGAGUAACACGUGGGUGAUCUGCCCUGCACUUCGGGAUAAGCUUGGGAAACUGGGUCUAAUACCGGAUAGGAACCAUCUUUAGUGUGGUGGUUGGAAAGUUUUUUCGGUGUAGGAUGAGCUCGCGGCCUAUCAGCUUGUUGGUGGGGUAAUGGCCUACCAAGGCGGCGACGGGUAGCCGGCCUGAGAGGGUGUACGGCAACAUUGGGACUGAGAUACGGCCCAG